RNAcentral lists this ribosomal RNA (466 nucleotides) under uncultured bacterium. Its description in RNAcentral is "partial 16S ribosomal RNA". It matches the Rfam family "Bacterial small subunit ribosomal RNA", at positions 28 to 507 of the family's 1533-position model. The record is from RNAcentral.
GACGAACGCUGGCGGCGUGCUUAACACAUGCAAGUCGAACGGAAAGGCCCAGCUUGCUGGGUACUCGAGUGGCGAACGGGUGAGUAACACGUGGGUGAUCUGCCCUGCACUCUGGGAUAAGCCUGGGAAACUGGGUCUAAUACCGGAUAUGACCAACUGUCGCAUGGUGGUUGGUGGAAAGCUUUUGCGGUGUGGGAUGGGCCCGCGGCCUAUCAGCUUGUUGGUGGGGUAAUGGCCUACCAAGGCGACGACGGGUAGCCGACCUGGGAGGGUGAUCGGCCACACUGGGACUGAGACACGGCCCAGACUCCUACGGGAGGCAGCAGUGGGGAAUAUUGCACAAUGGGCGCAAGCCUGAUGCAGCGACGCCGCGUGAGGGAUGACGGCCUUCGGGUUGUAAACCUCUUUCACCAGGGACGAAGCGUGAGUGACGGUACCUGGAGAAGAAGCACCGGCCAACUACGUG